RNAcentral lists this ribosomal RNA (398 nucleotides) under uncultured bacterium. Its description in RNAcentral is "bacterial SSU rRNA". It matches the Rfam family "Bacterial small subunit ribosomal RNA", at positions 29 to 417 of the family's 1533-position model. The record is from RNAcentral.
AAUGAACGCUGGCGGCGCGCCUAAUACAUGCAAGUCGAGCGAGAAGACGUAGCAAUACGUUUGUAAAGCGGCGAACGGGUGAGGAAUACAUGGGUAACCUACCCUCGAGUGGGGAAUAACUAGCCGAAAGGUUAGCUAAUACCGCGUACGCUCCUUGGACUUCGGUUCAGGGAGGAAAGCGAUACCGUGGGUAUCGCGCUCUUGGAUGGGCUCAUGUCCUAUCAGCUUGUUGGGAGGUAACGGCUCACCAAGGCUUCGACGGGUAGCUGGUCUGAGAGGACGAUCAGCCACACUGGCACUGCGACACGGGCCAGACUCCUACGGGAGGCAGCAGUAAGGAAUAUUGCGCAAUGGGCGAAAGCCUGACGCAGCGACGCCGCGUGGGGGAGUGAAGGUAC